This 547-nucleotide ribosomal RNA is filed under the name uncultured bacterium. RNAcentral's name for it is "partial 16S ribosomal RNA". It matches the Rfam family "Bacterial small subunit ribosomal RNA", at positions 355 to 893 of the family's 1533-position model. The record is from RNAcentral.
UAGGGAAUCUUCCACAAUGGACGCAAGUCUGAUGGAGCAACGCCGCGUGAGUGAAGAAGGUUUUCGGACCGUAAAGCUCUGUUGUUGGUGAAGAAGGAUAGAGGUAGUAACUGGCCUUUAUUUGACGGUAAUCAACCAGAAAGUCACGGCUAACUACGUGCCAGCAGCCGCGGUAAAUCGUAGGUGGCAAGCGUUGUCCGGAUUUAUUGGGCGUAAAGCGAGCGCAGGCGGAAGAAUAAGUCUGAUGUGAAAGCCCUCGGCUUAACCGAGGAAUUGCAUCGGAAACUGUUUUCUUGAGUGCAGAAGAGGAGAGUAGAACUCCAUGUGUAGCGGUGGAAUGCGUAGAUAUAUGGAAGAAUACCAGUGGCGAAGGCGGCUCUCUGGCCUGCAACUGACGCUGAGGCUCGAAAGCAUGGGUAGCGAACAGGAUUAGAUACCCUGGUAGUCCAUGCCGUAAACGAUGAGUGCUAAGUGUUGGGAGGCUUCCGCCUCUCAGUGCUGCAGCUAACGCAUUAAGCACUCCGCCUGGGGGAGUACGACCGCAAGG